GAGAAGAGGAGGGCAGCUUCACCAAGGCCACAGCUUCGCUCGCUCCUGGCCAAGGGAGCUAGUUAUUUUGCCAUGGCCUUGAUUGCAACAGCUGCCUCCUCUGUCAUGGCAGACAGCACCGUGAUCUGGAGAAGCAAGAGGGAUAGCCAAGAGAUGUCUGAGCUCAGGAAGAAACGUACAGAACAAAGCUGAGCACAGAAGCAGGGAGGGAGGCACCAUACCAGGAUCUCUUCUCCACAGUCGUACUUCUGCUCAAUCUCCUUGCCAAGGUCUCCCUCAGGGAGACGAAGGUCCUCUCGUACCUCCCCGCUGUCCUGGAGCAGUGAUAGGUACCCAUCCUGGAUGCCAAUCAGCUGGGGGCAGAUAGGGAAGGAGGCUGAAGGUA
RNAcentral lists this long non-coding RNA (385 nucleotides) under Homo sapiens (human). Its description in RNAcentral is "HSALNT0236702". Lineage: Eukaryota; Metazoa; Chordata; Mammalia; Primates; Hominidae. The record is from RNAcentral.